AGGGGGAGAAAUCAGAAGCAUUUAGCUAGCUAGGGGAAAAAAAGGGGUUCCUGAGCAUUGGAAUCACGGGGGGUCCUCGACUUACGACCAGAACAGAGUUCAAAGUUUCCGUCGCUGGGUGAGAUAGUUGUUAAGUGAAUUUUUCUCCCAUUUUGCAACCUUUCUCCCCAUCCUUGCGGAGUGAAUCUUUGCAUCUGUUACAGUUAGUGACCCGGUCGUUAAGCGAAUCUGGCUUUUCCCCAUAGAUUUUGCUUGUCAGAAGGUCGCAAAAGGGGGAAUCACCUGACCCCGGGGAGGCUGCGACCGUCAUAAACAUGAGCCGGUUGCCAAGCGUCUGAAUGGCCACAAGAGUGCUGCAACGGUCCGCUGUCGUAAUGUCAAAUGGUCACUAAGCGAAAUGUCGUAAGUCGAGGACUACCUGUACUUGGAAAACUGGACCCAGAACCUACACCUCACUCACCGGGGGUGCAAUCCUGGGCCUCAUCCACCAAGAUGACAUCGUAUUCGGAAAGCGAAGGCUUCUGGAGUUGCCAAAGCUUCAGAGCUGCCAAUAUUUCCCCUGAUAUCCCACGUACCAUCGUGCGUCAUUCGGUGCGCCAUUUCUCCGGUUGGGCUCAGCGUCUGCAUCUUGCUCCAUAUUUCUUUUGCUUCUUCAACAAUGAUCUAGAAAGCAAAAGCUGGGAAGUAGAUCUUGCCGCACAAGAUCAGAUCCGAGGUUUUGUCAUCCAGGCUGCCCAGAGACUUGAAGGAGAAGGACGGUCUGGAUCCACAGGUCGCCAACGAGGAUCGUGUGACCUCAGGACACUGCAACCGUCAUAAACUUGAGUCAGGUUGCCAAGCACCUGAAUUUUAACGGCGUGAACAUGGGGGAAAGCCGCGGACGGUCGCAAGGGUGAAAAAAACGGCCGUGCGUUAUUUAUGUCAGCGCAGUCGUAACUUCGAACGAUCACUAAAGAAACGGUCGUUAAGUCGAGGACCACCUGCCAGGGCUCCCGAGCAUCG
This is a long non-coding RNA of Crotalus tigris (Tiger rattlesnake), 1002 nucleotides long. RefSeq lists it as uncharacterized. Lineage: Eukaryota; Metazoa; Chordata; Lepidosauria; Squamata; Viperidae. The transcript is spliced from 4 exons. The record is from RefSeq and is a predicted model, not a curated record.